UGGGGAAUCUUGGACAAUGGGGGCAACCCUGAUCCAGCAAUGCCGCGUGUGGGAUGAAGGCCUUCGGGUUGUAAACCACUUUUGGCGGGGGCGAAAUAUCGAGUGCUAAUACCAUUCGGUGAUGACGGUACCCGCAGAAUAAGCACCGGCUAACUACGUGCCAGCAGCCGCGGUAAUACGUAGGGUGCAAGCGUUAAUCGGAAUUACUGGGCGUAAAGCGUGCGCAGGCGGUUAAGUAAGACAGAUGUGAAAUUCCCGGGCUCAACCUGGGAACUGCAUUUGUGACUGCCUGACUAGAGUGCGGCAGAGGGGAGUGGAAUUCCGCGUGUAGCAGUGAAAUGCGUAGAUAUGCGGAGGAACACCGAUGGCGAAGGCAACUCCCUGGGCCUGCACUGACGCUCAUGCACGAAAGCGUGGGGAGCAAACAGG
This 429-nucleotide ribosomal RNA is filed under the name uncultured prokaryote. Its description in RNAcentral is "bacterial SSU rRNA". It matches the Rfam family "Bacterial small subunit ribosomal RNA", at positions 355 to 776 of the family's 1533-position model. The record is from RNAcentral. RNAcentral also lists the same sequence under 1 other name.